AUGAGGGCGGCACGUACAGAGCUUAAUCAUUUCAACAAGACCAAGAAAAAAAAACAAAAAGUGACUGCUCUGCCCAUGGCUGGUCCUGCACCACCUCAGAGUCGUAGUACGGCGCACCCUGGUCACAUACCACCAACUACCACUGGUCCUAUGGCAGCCAAUUCAGCUGCUAUAACAACACCAGGCUCAGGGUGGUCUACGCCAAUUGCAGGGGUUCUUAAGGAUCCACCUAAAUCAACAACUAAAGGCCGUGCGAAAAGUAAACGGUUGCAGUCAGCACUGGAGUUGCAUCCGAAGAGGAAGAACAAAUGCUCCUUCUGCGAUUCAUCUGAACACAAUGCAGCAAAUUGCCCUGGUCGUUUGGUUUGA
This 369-nucleotide ribosomal RNA is filed under the name Triticum aestivum (bread wheat). Its description in RNAcentral is "partial small subunit ribosomal RNA". Lineage: Eukaryota; Viridiplantae; Streptophyta; Magnoliopsida; Poales; Poaceae. The record is from RNAcentral.